GCCUAGGGUAGAGGUAGCUGUAUUCAAUAGUAUUCAAUAGGAGCUGGUAAGCGUUGAUAAUUGAUGAAAGGGUAUAUAGCCGAAGAAAUUUUGUUGACGGACAAAUUUUCUGGACUUAUGCAGAAUAUGCAUAAGGCUGUCACUUUUAAAGUGGUGAGCUACAAGGUUA
This is a regulatory RNA element of 169 nucleotides. It matches the Rfam family "Lysine riboswitch aptamer". From Rfam's summary of the family: Riboswitches are metabolite binding domains within certain messenger RNAs that serve as precision sensors for their corresponding targets. The record is from Rfam.